CGUGUAGGCGGCUUUUUAAGUCUGAAGUGAAAGUCCUGCUUUCAAGGUGGGAAUUGCUUUGGAGACUGGAAGGCUUGAGUGCGGAAGAGGUAAGUGGAAUUCCCAGUGUAGCGGUGAAAUGCGUAGAGAUUGGGAGGAACACCAGUGGCGAAGGCGACUUACUGGGCCGUAACUGACGCUGAGGCGCGAAAGCGUGGGGAGCGAACA
This 207-nucleotide ribosomal RNA is filed under the name uncultured bacterium. RNAcentral describes it as "partial 16S ribosomal RNA". It matches the Rfam family "Bacterial small subunit ribosomal RNA", at positions 568 to 774 of the family's 1533-position model. The record is from RNAcentral.